GGACAAUCUAGAAUCAUAUUAAUGGAGCUGACUGAGAUAGCCUGGACUAUACAAAAUUAAAAAUACUACUUUGAAUGGAGAACCAAUGACAUGUAGAAUAUGAGAGAAACAGUUUCUCUUAUGUCUGCUCUGAAGGAGAAAUUUCAAAACGCUAAUAUAAAGUUAAUGUAGGCCCAAGAUGUAAAUGACCUUAAAGAAAACAUAUUUAAAAUCUCAUGUUGUAGUUAAUAAGAGCCUAUUUGUUUUGCAUUCCAGGAAUGUAUUUUUUUCAUAAAGAAUUCAUAUUCACUUAGCUAUAUUGACUAAAUCUUCACUAAGUUAGUUAUAUUGACUAAUAAUGCAUUUGAAAAAAAAGGUUUUUGCAUUAUGAAAUCAGAAUUUCAGUUAGGCAUUGGGGUUACUUAUGGAGAAAAAUGAAACUUUAAGUCUAAUUUCAGUCACUUUUUAAAGCAUUUACGGCAUCUCCCUUUUUAAAUCACAAAAGUUUAAAAUAUAUAU
This 498-nucleotide unclassified non-coding RNA is filed under the name Hevea brasiliensis (rubber tree). The record is from RNAcentral. Lineage: Eukaryota; Viridiplantae; Streptophyta; Magnoliopsida; Malpighiales; Euphorbiaceae.